Dreissena polymorpha is the source of this 847-nucleotide long non-coding RNA. RefSeq lists it as uncharacterized. The transcript is spliced from 5 exons. The record is from RefSeq and is a predicted model, not a curated record. Lineage: Eukaryota; Metazoa; Mollusca; Bivalvia; Myida; Dreissenidae.
AAAGGAUGAAGUUUAUUCACAGGAUGAAGACGUUCGUAUUUAUUUGAAUUACUUAUUUUGAUUAGCUGUAGCCGGACCUCCGGAAGGGAAACACGUCGCCAUAAACGUUAACCGGAAUAAUGUUCAGUAAAUACCGGAAAGAAGCGGAGAAGAAAUUGAGCGAGGUCCCACCAUCAGACGGAAACUGUGAUGGUCGAAGACAGGGAUUGACUCAACUCUAUCAAGAAGAUAUCAAGUAGAUGGCGCUUCGACUUUUUUCGAAAGAGAUACUACACAACUGGGCAGUGACUGGAUCAACGAAAUAUCGAUAACAGAUGCAGAGAGAGAUGAGUUUGAGAAAAUUAUGGAACAAUGCGGUUACAACGCACUUAUUCAGAAACUAGAAGCAUGGAACUGGAAACAACCGACUAUUAACAUAGCCGUAGCAGGUUCAGCUGGAACAGGUAAAUCGACGUUGAUCAAUUCCUUAAGAGGUCUGAAAGCGGAUGAUAAAGGUGCCGCUUUGACUGGAUGUACGGAAACAACAACCGAGGUUACGUGCUAUCCCCAUCCAGAAAAUCCAAACCUAAAACUAUGGGAUCUACCUGGUGUUGGAACGCUUAAUUUCCCGCGAGACACCUAUUUUGAAACUGUCGAUUUUAAGAAGUACGAUUUCCUGCUCCUUGUUUCAAGUUCACGUUUUUCGGAAACCGACUUGUGUUUAUUGAAUAUAAGGAGAUUUAAAGCGUGUUGCCACAACGAUACUGAUACAUGUAUAUAACUUUGAUGUGACACAUUUUGGAAGACCUACUUAUAAACCAGUUCUGUAGUUGGUGAAAGUGCACUUGUAGUGGAUAGAAAGAGUUGU